CGCUAAUACCCAAUGUGCCGAGAGGUGAAACUUAUAUGGCCUGAGGAUGAGCUCGCGUCUGAUUAGCUAGUUGGAGUGGUAACGGCACCCCAAGGCGACGAUCAGUAGCUGGUCUGAGAGGAUGAUCAGCCACACUGGGACUGAGACACGGCCCAGACUCCUACGGGAGGCAGCAGUGGGGAAUUUUCCGCAAUGGGCGAAAGCCUGACGGAGCAAGACCGCGUGAGGGAGGAAGGCCUACUGGUUGUAAACCUCUUUUGAUAGGGAAGAAGACAAUGACGGUACCUAUCGAAUCAGCCUCGGCUAACUCCGUGCCAGCAGCCGCGGUAAUACGGAGGAGGCAAGCGUUAUCCGGAAUUAUUGGGCGUAAAGCGUCCGUAGGUGGCGAACCAAGUCAGUUGUUAAAGCGUGGAGCUUAACUCCAUAUCAGCAAUUGAAACUGGUUGGCUAGAGUGCGAUAGGGGCAAGGGGAAUUCCCAGUGUAGCGGUGAAAUGCGUAGAUAUUGGGAAGAACAUCGGUGGCGAAAGCGCCUUGCUGGGUCUGCA
Molecule: ribosomal RNA, 546 nt
Filed under: Leptolyngbya sp. BC1602
Lineage: Bacteria; Bacillati; Cyanobacteriota; Cyanophyceae; Leptolyngbyales; Leptolyngbyaceae
Description: bacterial SSU rRNA
Rfam family: Bacterial small subunit ribosomal RNA
Source: RNAcentral